GACGAACGCUGGCGGCGUGCCUAAUACAUGCAAGUAGAACGCACAGUUUAUACCGUAGCUUGCUACACCAUAAACUGUGAGUUGCGAACGGGUGAGUAACGCGUAGGUAACCUGCCUGGUAGCGGGGGAUAACUAUUGGAAACGAUAGCUAAUACCGCAUAAUAUUAAUUAUUGCAUGAUAAUUGAUUGAAAGAUGCAAUUGCAUCACUACCAGAUGGACCUGCGUUGUAUUAGCUAGUAGGUGAGGUAACGGCUCACCUAGGCGACGAUACAUAGCCGACCUGAGAGGGUGAUCGGCCACACUGGGACUGAGACACGGCCCAGACUCCUACGGGAGGCAGCAGUAGGGAAUCUUCGGCAAUGGACGAAAGUCUGACCGAGCAACGCCGCGUGAGUGAAGAAGGUUUUCGGACCGUAAAGCUCUGUUGUAAGAGAAGAACGGGUGUGAGAGUGGAAAGUUCACACUGUGACGGUAUCUUACCAGAAAGGGACGGCUAACUACGUG
RNAcentral lists this ribosomal RNA (505 nucleotides) under uncultured bacterium. Its description in RNAcentral is "partial 16S ribosomal RNA". It matches the Rfam family "Bacterial small subunit ribosomal RNA", at positions 28 to 507 of the family's 1533-position model. The record is from RNAcentral.